AUCCUGGUUGGCUCAGUUGGUAGAGCAUGUGACUUUUGAUCUCAGGGUCGUGGGUUUGAGCCCCACAUUGGAUG
Non-coding RNA from Zalophus californianus (California sea lion), 74 nucleotides. NCBI's taxonomy places the organism in Eukaryota, Metazoa, Chordata, Mammalia, Carnivora, Otariidae. The record is from the annotation of a RefSeq genome assembly.